Long non-coding RNA from Cercocebus atys (sooty mangabey), 373 nucleotides. RefSeq lists it as uncharacterized. The transcript is spliced from 3 exons. NCBI's taxonomy places the organism in Eukaryota, Metazoa, Chordata, Mammalia, Primates, Cercopithecidae. The record is from RefSeq and is a predicted model, not a curated record.
UUACUAUCAUUGCAGGUGAUCAUAGUUUCUGUAAUCAGCAAGAAAUCAGUAAGUAAACAUUCUACUUUACUAUAGUGUCAGUAGUUUAAUUUUUUUUCCAUUUGCAGGAAAGUAAAUAUUUUCAGUUUUGUGCUCUUAAAGUUCCAACCAGGCUGCUAUCAAGCUUACAUAUCACAGGGCACCUCACAAUGUUGUCAGUGGACCUACCUAUCUUCUUGAGACAGUUCUCUUAUUCCUCCGUUUCCAGACAACUGAUAAUUUUUACAUGUCUGUGAGUAUUUGAAUGAAAAGAGAGAGAAAAACAAUUGCCAGAUGACUUCUUAGUACCAUUUAAGAAAUACAAAUAUAUAAAUCAAUGAAACCAUAAAGAAUA